This 500-nucleotide ribosomal RNA is filed under the name uncultured bacterium. RNAcentral's name for it is "partial 16S ribosomal RNA". It matches the Rfam family "Bacterial small subunit ribosomal RNA", at positions 30 to 523 of the family's 1533-position model. The record is from RNAcentral.
AUUGAACGCUGGCGGCAGGCCUAACACAUGCAAGUCGAGCGGAUGAUGGGAGCUUGCUCCUGGAUUCAGCGGCGGACGGGUGAGUAAUGCCUAGGAAUCUGCCUGGUAGUGGGGGACAACGUUUCGAAAGGAACGCUAAUACCGCAUACGUCCUACGGGAGAAAGCAGGGGACCUUCGGGCCUUGCGCUAUCAGAUGAGCCUAGGUCGGAUUAGCUUGUUGGUGAGGUAAUGGCUCACCAAGGCGACGAACCGUAACUGGUCUGAGAGGAUGAUCAGUCACACUGGAACUGAGACACGGUCCAGACUCCUACGGGAGGCAGCAGUGGGGAAUAUUGGACAAUGGGCGAAAGCCUGAUCCAGCCAUGCCGCGUGUGUGAAGAAGGUCUUCGGAUUGUAAAGCACUUUAAGUUGGGAGGAAGGGUUGUAGAUUAAUACUCUGCAAUUUUGACGUUACCGACAGAAUAAGCACCGGCUAACUCUGUGCCAGCCGCCGCCGUAA